AUAUUGGGCAAUGGACGCAAGUCUGACCCAGCAACGCCGCGUGAAGGAAGAAGGCUUUCGGGUUGUAAACUUCUUUUGUCAGGGAACAGUAGAAGAGGGUACCUGACGAAUAAGCCACGGCUAACUACGUGCCAGCAGCCGCGGUAAUACGUAGGUGGCAAGCGUUGUCCGGAUUUACUGGGUGUAAAGGGCGUGUAGCCGGGUGUGUAAGUCAGAUGUGAAAUCUGGAGGCUCAACCUCCAAACUGCAUUUGAAACUGCGCAUCUUGAGUAUCGGAGAGGUAAUCGGAAUUCCUAGUGUAGCGGUGAAAUGCGUAGAUAUUAGGAAGAACACCAGUGGCGAAGGCGGAUUACUGGACGACAACUGACGGUGAGGCGCGAAAGCGUGGGGAGCAAACAG
Molecule: ribosomal RNA, 399 nt
Filed under: uncultured bacterium
Lineage: Bacteria
Description: bacterial SSU rRNA
Rfam family: Bacterial small subunit ribosomal RNA
Source: RNAcentral